GUCUAUCUGAAAACGACAGCACCAACAGCUUCGAGCAUAUGUGAUUAUUUAGAUCUUGAGAGAACCAGACCAUGUGGCAUUGCAAUGGAUGAGUUGACAAGUUCAUUAACUUAAAGCUUUGAGGUGCGUCCCAGUUGAGGUGAUGAUCGACGGACACCUGCAGUCGAAAUACAGAUGUAGUAUUUCACGAAGAGGCUCAAUCCAUGUCUGGGAAACUGGGCCUGUCUAAAGUGUGAGGAACAAUGAAGUUGGACAAAUGACAAAACUACACAAGAUCAACA
Long non-coding RNA from Osmerus eperlanus (European smelt), 281 nucleotides. RefSeq lists it as uncharacterized. The record is from RefSeq and is a predicted model, not a curated record. Lineage: Eukaryota; Metazoa; Chordata; Actinopteri; Osmeriformes; Osmeridae. The transcript is spliced from 3 exons.